Molecule: RNA transcript, 2421 nt
Organism: Lycium barbarum (goji berry)
Lineage: Eukaryota; Viridiplantae; Streptophyta; Magnoliopsida; Solanales; Solanaceae
Exons: 5
Source: RefSeq, a predicted model, not a curated record
UACUUUUUGUUGUCCAAUUAUAUCACUUUUGCCAUAGCCGCUCCUUUCACAUUUUAACCCUUUCUUCUCCACCGUGUAGCCGUAAACCAUAGAGCUUCUAAGAUCAUGUUGAGGUUUUGUUUUCACUGUACGUACGCAGCACAAGUUUUCUCAUAAUUUCAGCGAUGAAGGAUUUGGAAAAAGUGUCCAAAGUUAGUGAUGAUUGCACACUUACUAUCGUUGAGCUGCGGGAGUCAUACAACAACUGGAAAUCAGUUGUAUGGGUUGUUAGAAUUCGACACGAGGCUCAAGGGGAUAUUUUAGUAACACAUGGAACUGCUUUCUCUGUUAGUAGUGAUGGAUUGAUACUUACUUCUGCACAUCUUUUCCCAAAGACUUCAUAUGAACUUGAUGUCAGGUGGUUAGAUGAAGCUAAUUUUCACCGGGCUAGUGUAGUAUUUCAAAAACCUAAAUGGGAUGUUAUAUUACUACAGGUCCUAGAUGUGAAUGGUUGCCAAUAUGCUACACUUACCAAUGAUGGUUCACUGUCAGUGGGCCAAUCUUUAUUACAUAUAGGGAAUCCCGAUCAAUUUGUGGGAUCAUUCUUGAUGGGCAAAGUUGCAUUUGAAUGUAUAGACCAUGUCGAAGUACAUAUAUUACUUCGACAUGGUCUAUACAUUCAAAUGCAACUUUGCUUAAGACCCGCUUGGACCAAAAAAAGAAAAAGAAAGCCCUCCUAAUGUAGAAAAAUCACUCUUUAUACUCUUCACAUUUUAACCCCUUCUUCUCCACCAUGUAGCCGUAAACCAUAGAGCUUCUAAGAUCAUGUUGAGGUUUUGUUUUCACUGUACGUACGCAGCACAAGUUUUCUCAUAAUUUCAGCGAUGAAGGAUUUGGAAAAAGUGUCCAAAGUUAGUGAUGAUUGCACACUUACUAUCGUUGAGUUGCGGGAGUCAUACAACAACUGGAAAUCAGUUGUAUGGGUUGUUAGAAUUCGACACGAGGCUCAAGGGGAUAUUUUAGUAACACAUGGAACUGCUUUCUCUGUGAGUAGUGAUGGAUUGAUACUUACUUCUGCACAUCUUUUCCCAAAGACUUCAUAUGAACUUGAUGUCAGGAGGUUAGAUGAAGCUAAUUUUCACCGGGCUAGUGUAGUAUUUCAAAAACCUAAAUGGGAUGUUAUAUUACUACAGGUCCUAGAUGUGAAUGGUUGCCAAUAUGCUACACUUACCAAUGAUGGUUCACUGUCAGUGGGCCAAUCUUUAUUAUAUAUAGGGAAUCCCGAUCAAUUUGUAGGAUCAUUCUUGAUGGACAAAGUUGCAUUUGAAUGUAUAGACCAUGUCGAAGUACCUAUAUCCGGUGCAACUUGUAAAACUUAUAUACCUACUGCCCUAUCGACCACACCUAGACAUAGAAUUAUGGGUCAUGUUUGGAAUAAAGAUAUUUUUAGGCAUUCUUCGUUCGGUACUUAUGCAAAAAAUCUUCAUCCUCUUGUUCCUAUAAUACAAAUGUAUGGCCUUAUUUGUGGGGAGGUUGUUCAGGUUGCCCCGUUUUCAAUGUUAAGGGGAAGUCGUUGGGAUGCUUGCUAUGAGUUCAGGGGGAUAUGAGAUCGCCAUCCAUGUUGCAGCGCUGAGAGAAAUACUAAGGCUGUUCAAAGAACAACACCUAGACGACGAAGAUGGGAAAAGAAAAGAUAUAUCAGAUCCUAAAGUUCAGGGCGGGGAUUCCAAGAAAUUCAAGGGUCUUCCGGCUGAUCGAAAAGGAAAAGGUGGGCAUUAUUCCGUGGUUGAUACUGUCUAGUGUCUACUAGAGUCAGCAAAUCUAUCAGCAGAAGAAUAUUCAAGUAGGAGCAGAAAGUAAAAGCGAUACUGACCAGUUUUUCAACCUUCCCUUUUUAUGUCUAAUAUAUGUUAUUGUCAAUUCAUUUGGGAUCUGUAAAUUGGAUGUGCCACACCUCUGUAAGGAGUACCCAUUUUCUUUUUCUAGAAGAAGGAACAAAUGCAGUGAGUUUGAAGUCAUGUUUGAAAGGAGUACUUCUAUAUCUUUUGUAGUCGCAGUGCUGGACACAAUUUGCAUGAUCACGUCAGCCUUGUGGUUGAGGCUACUGUGCGGUAGGUUGAGCUACGUUGGCUUAGUUCAGCUGCAACAGUCACAAGUAGGUGUUUCGCCUCUUGUUGUAUAUGGUGGUGGUGGUGGUGCCUUUGAGUACCUAGUCGUUAUAAGUUAGUUCCUUAUGUUUUAAGUAUCAACUUUGCUAUCUUUCUAUUAAGUUCCCGGUGCAUUCUUAGUUUGGCAUAUUCGGUCCCUGCCAAUUUAGUUACUGGCAGGGCCAGCUGUAGCUAUCCGUUGGUUAGAUGCUGUAAUUAUUCCCUUAGAGGAGAUAUGAAUGAAUCUAUCUAAGUGUAGCCCAAGAUUUCUUUUUGUUAUCUGUGCAUUUCCUUU